RNAcentral lists this non-coding RNA (29 nucleotides) under Mus musculus (house mouse). The record is from RNAcentral. Lineage: Eukaryota; Metazoa; Chordata; Mammalia; Rodentia; Muridae.
UCCUAAGGUGAACUCUGGUGAAAAGAAGC